Molecule: unclassified non-coding RNA, 240 nt
Filed under: soil metagenome
Description: partial contains 5.8S ribosomal RNA, internal transcribed spacer 2, and large subunit ribosomal RNA
Source: RNAcentral
AAGACUAUAGACCUGCGGAGUACCUGCGGAGGGAUCAUUAACGAGUUAGGGUGUCCCCUCGCGGCGCCCGACCUCCCAACCCUUUGCUUAAAACACCCUGUGUUGCUUCGGCGGGUCCGUCCUUCUCACCGGAGGACCGCCGGGGGACCGUGAAACGUCCCCUGGCCCGUCUACCCGCCGGCGGCCAAUACCUAAACUCUGAACACUAAACGUGCCUUUAACUGUCUGAGUUACACAUGA